Molecule: long non-coding RNA, 1433 nt
Organism: Triticum aestivum (bread wheat)
Lineage: Eukaryota; Viridiplantae; Streptophyta; Magnoliopsida; Poales; Poaceae
Exons: 3
Source: RefSeq, a predicted model, not a curated record
ACAACCUGGUAUUUCAGUGCGCGCACAACUACAGUGGAGAACUCAGACCAUGGAGUGGCAUGGAUGCAUAGAUCAGGCGAGUGAUCAACGUAGCAUAGAUAAUCGUCAAAAUUGCUGGAGAAGAAACAGCCUUGGCAUGAUGGCCAAGCCACACCGAAUGCCAGCAAGUGUAAGAUCAGAGGGGAUCGGGCCUUACUGAACCGUCGGCGUUGGAGUCAAGGUAGCUGAGGGAGCACAGCACCGUCGAGCCCGAGACGAUAGCCGCUUGUGCAGAGAGGCGGGGUGGUCGGCUGACAAACCGGAGGUGCCAAAGCUGCGCCGGCGACCCGUGGGGGUCUAGGGUUUCUGCGGGGGCAUGGGCAGGGUCGCAUAGGACGUCGGGGAGGCGGCGGGCUGCGGGUUAGAGGCAGGGCCGUUGAGGGGCCUGUGCGGGCGGUGCGACCGCACAGGGCCCCCAAAUUUCAGGGGCCUUGGGCCAUAUGGUUAAUGUAUAUAUUCUGAGUUUGGGCCGUUUUCAUUAUUCGUCAAUGGUUGGAGCCAGCAGUUAACUGGGCUCCAUCGCUCUCCCGAACUGGGCCUGUACGCCUGGUCAUUAUCUAGAAACCCGAGACCGGUUCGAUCGAUCAUGUCUGCGAGGGGAUCAGGGGAUCUGCUGCUUCCGCGUUGAUAGGAAACCUCUUCGACCUCUUUCAUCUUGAUUGGAUCCCCUUGGUCACUGCUACUUCUAGCUCUGAUUGAUUCAGGGCAUGCUUGAUCGAGGAGUGCAAGAAAACAACAAAAAGUCCUGCUGUAGGUUGAAGGGAAGGAGACGAAGGGCAUGGGUACUUGAAAAAUAAGCAAUCACGUUGCCUCCAUCUCCUACAGAUCGAGUUCUUCCAUGAAUUUGACCCUAGACGAUCUGGUAAGUGAGUCAUUACUCGAUGCAGUUUAGUAGUAUCAUUUAUUCUUCUGGUAUUAAUAUUUGAUAUACUUCUGAAUACUAUACGCAAUAAUGCAUACUUCAAUUAUAUACUGUAUAUAUAAUUAAGUAGGAGAAUGUUUCAGUUAUAUUGGUUAUUUAGUAUAUGACUUGUAAAAAAAUUAGGCCUAAUUUUUUGCAUUCCGCACCGGGCCCCCGAAUUCCUGGAGACGGCCCUGGUUAGAGGAGAAUAGAAAGAGGGAACCGAACCAGGGAUCAAGAGUGCAGGGAAGCGCCGGAGUUCCUUGGAAUCGGUGGUGGAGAGAGAGGAAUCGGGGAGAGAGCUGGCGGAGAGGAUUUUAUUUUUCUUUCAUCCUUAGACGCAUGAUAUUAGCGCAGGAGGUGGUGGUGGUGGAUGAGGUUAAAGGCCUUCGUGGCUCGUGGGGAGGUGGCCAGGUGGGAGGGUUAACCCAAAGACAACACAUGCUACAGUUCGUUUCUACAUAUGUGUUGCCAUAUGGGAGUGUUUGUUGUA